UAGAAGCCAACGGUUAUGUUUGGACCCCAGG
This 31-nucleotide non-coding RNA is filed under the name Mus musculus (house mouse). The record is from RNAcentral. Lineage: Eukaryota; Metazoa; Chordata; Mammalia; Rodentia; Muridae.